GUUCGGGUGGCCUAGUGGUUAGAGCGCCUGCCUCAAAUUCGGGAGGUCGAGGAUACGAACCCCGGCCGAGUA
Non-coding RNA from Potamilus streckersoni, 72 nucleotides. The record is from the annotation of a GenBank genome assembly. NCBI's taxonomy places the organism in Eukaryota, Metazoa, Mollusca, Bivalvia, Unionida, Unionidae.